CUCAGCCUUCCAGCACGUGUGCAUAUGCGGCAAGCGGAUGCGACUACCCGUGCACCUGGAGCGUCAUCGAGCGUCGUGUCCUCUCUCUCUCUCCUCUCAAGUUUCCCAGUGAUGGGAUUACGUGACCCUUUUGCGGCAGUGACUCUACAGGACAGGACAGGACAGGUGCGUGUGGACACAGGUGUCAAAGAUGGCGCCACCAUCAGCACGUUCUACAACCCGAUAAUCUCAAAGAUCUCACUCAGCUCUGCUCUCCGAGCAUUCUGCUUCCAACACGCCGUGACUUCCCGAAAGAAAAUGUGCUCGCGCAUUAGAAGGAGGUGAAAGAUGCACCUGCAGGAGAAUACAUGCUGAAGAGAAGGCAGAAACAUGCCUGGAUCCACCAGAACUAGUGCUGGCAAGUAAACAGAGGCGAGUACUGAUAAUGUUCCAGAUUGUGGUAGGAUCACAUAAGCAAAAUUGACACUGGGAGGCACGACGGUGGAUCAGCUCAUGGCCAGCGCCAAUUCCAGUGGACAUCACGUGCAUCCAGUUCUAGUACUAUAGUAUGACUGCUACAAAGUAGUGCGGCCCAAAUAGAACUCGGGUCAG
Long non-coding RNA from Sycon ciliatum, 591 nucleotides. RefSeq lists it as uncharacterized. Lineage: Eukaryota; Metazoa; Porifera; Calcarea; Leucosolenida; Sycettidae. The transcript has 3 exons. The record is from RefSeq and is a predicted model, not a curated record.